RNAcentral lists this ribosomal RNA (253 nucleotides) under uncultured bacterium. Its description in RNAcentral is "partial 16S ribosomal RNA". It matches the Rfam family "Bacterial small subunit ribosomal RNA", at positions 524 to 776 of the family's 1533-position model. The record is from RNAcentral.
UACGGAGGGUGCAAGCGUUAUCCGGAUUCACUGGAUUUAAAGGGUGCGUAGGUGGGCCGGUAAGUCAGUGGUGAAAUCUCCGAGCUUAACUCGGAAACUGCCGUUGAUACUAUUUGUCUUGAAUAUUGUGGAGGUAAGCGGAAUAUGUCAUGUAGCGGUGAAAUGCUUAGAUAUGACAUAGAACACCAAUUGCGAAGGCAGCUUACUACACAACGAUUGACGCUGAGGCACGAAAGCGUGGGGAGCAAACAGG